UGAUCUUUGGAUUUAUCUCUAGUCUCUAACCUUUUGUGGACAUAUGUCUGGAAGGGAUGGUCUGUGCCACUGAGUUCAGCCUUCUCUGCAGGAAACCUCACCACACAGGCAACUGGGGAGACAGCAUUGAAACAUCAACAGCAAGAAUCCUGGCUGGUUUCUGGAGGAAAGUAUGGGAAGAAUGAAAAGGCCAAAAUGUCAUAGGUGACACCACCAGUGAGGAAUAAUGGACAUUAUCACUUGAUUUAUGGAGCACCAAGAAAUUCACAUGAAUUGGAAUAAUUUAUUUGCCUGUAGUUCCCAGACUUUUUGAAGGCAACUGUAGUCUAAAAAUCUUCUUUCCAGCAUUUCUGAUGUCACACAGACAGAAUUAGAGCAGCUUCCGAGUGACUUCCUCAGUUCUGAAAUUAUUUCUAA
This 417-nucleotide long non-coding RNA is filed under the name Taeniopygia guttata (zebra finch). RNAcentral's name for it is "lncRNA (ENSTGUG00000026040.1)". The record is from RNAcentral. Lineage: Eukaryota; Metazoa; Chordata; Aves; Passeriformes; Estrildidae.